Molecule: long non-coding RNA, 1624 nt
Organism: Equus caballus (horse)
Lineage: Eukaryota; Metazoa; Chordata; Mammalia; Perissodactyla; Equidae
Source: Ensembl
CACUUUCAAAUGGCAGACCAGGAUUUGAACCAGGGCAGCCUGGUUCCAGAGCUCUCUUCCUUCCUAUUACUCCCUGCUGCCAAAAUUCAGUGUCCUGAUACCUUCUGGGCACAUAGGCAAUAGGAGACACUUGUCUGUUAGAGGCAGAAGACUUUUUUGGGAGCAGUUCUGCUGUGUUUUCAAAGAAAGCCCACCCACAUAAUUCAUCUGUUAAAACAAGAAACACUGCUACUGUGAUGUUGACAUUCUGUCUAGAAGUGAGCAAAUUAACUUGUGUCUGUGUGUAAUUUCUUCAAACUAUGAAACAGUGAGAGAGUGGGUGAGAGUCAUUAUGAAAAAGAGUAAUCUUAAAAUACUCUGAAAUAUGAAAAUAUAAUAAAACAAUCCUACGUUAUCAUUAUACAUUAUUAUUACCAGGAAAAUGCAUUCGAUAAUGCUGCUGCUGCUAGCAUAUCAUCAUAGUGAUUUCUCCAUGCCAGGCACUAUGCCAAGUGCUUUCUAUGCAUCAUCUCGUUUAAUCCCCACAACCACCUUGGGAGAUAAAUGUGAUUAUCAUAGAUACCCUGUGACCCAGCACCCUUGCUUUUAGGUAUUUAUAUGAGAGAUGUGAAAGUAAAAGUCCACAAACAUACUUGCAUAAGAAUAUUAAUAGUAGCUUCAUUCACAAUCGCAAAAACUGAAAACAGCCCAGAUGUCCAUAAAUGGGAGACUAGAUAAACAAACUGGCAUGUUGGAAUAUUACUGAGCAAUAAAAAGGAAGUAACAUUGGUAUUUGCAACAACAUAGAUGAAUCUCAAGAUCAUUAUGCUUAAUGAAGAGUGCAUACUUUCACAAGAGUAUAUACUAUGUUAUUUUGUUUAAACCGUUUCGGUGGAAAAACAUCAGAACAGUGGUUACCUUUGGGAUGUGUCACUGGAAAGAGCAUAAGGGAAUUUUUUGGGUGAUGGAAAUGUUCUAUGUCUUGAUAGGGGCUUAGGUUACACAGGGGUGCAUUUAUCAAAAUUCCUCGAAAGGUACAUUUAAGGUUUCUGCAUUUCAUUAGAUGUAAAUUUUACCUAAAAAAUUCAAAACAAAUAGUGAACUCUAGUUAAUCAUAUGCCUAUUGAAGUGUUUAGAGGUAAAAUGUGCUGAUGUCUGCAACUUUUCUAGAAAUGCAUCAGAAAUAAAAUGGCUUGAUGGAUAGAGAGAGAUGGAUAGAAGGCUGGAUAUACGAUAAAACAGUUCCCUUUGUCUUUCUUAAUGCAGUAGUCACUUUGUUCAGCUGGGGCUCAUCAACAGAGGAGAGAAGUAAGAGUGCCUGGAGUCCUAGCUGGCUUGGUGAUUGAAACACUGCCUAUUACAUGCCAAUGUCAAAGGCACCAACACUGAUCACAUAGUGGCCAAAGGUCAAUGAAAGCAGCAGGAGCUGGUGAGGAGGGAGGGACUUGGGAUCAAUGCUCAAGCACCGCCAGCUCUGGCAACUCCCUAAAGACAGCCCAGGACCCUGGGCUUAGUGUGCGGCUAGAAAGAAACCAAGAGAAGAUGAGCUGCUUCUCUGCUGGGACCUGUUGGUCAUCAAUCAUCAGGUAACAUUUUACCUAUCCAUCUUCUAACUCCCAAAUUCAGCGCUUUCUACUUUAUCAAG